GACGAACGCUGGCGGCGUGCUUAACACAUGCAAGUCGAACGGAAAGGCCCUGCUUUUGUGGGGUGCUCGAGUGGCGAACGGGUGAGUAACACGUGAGUAACCUGCCCUUGACUUUGGGAUAACUUCAGGAAACUGGGGCUAAUACCGGAUAGGAGCUCCUGCUGCAUGGUGGGGGUUGGAAAGUUUCGGCGGUUGGGGAUGGACUCGCGGCUUAUCAGCUUGUUGGUGGGGUAGUGGCUUACCAAGGCUUUGACGGGUAGCCGGCCUGAGAGGGUGACCGGCGACAUUGGGCCUGAGAUACGCACCAGACGCCUACGGGAGGCAGCAGUGGGGAAUAUUGCCCAGUGGGCGGAAGCCUGAUGCAGCAACGCCGCGUGCGGGAUGAAGGCCUUCGGGUUGUAAACCGCUUUGGCCUGUGACGAAGCGUGAGUGACGGUAAUGGGUAAAGAAGCACCGGCUAACUACGUG
RNAcentral lists this ribosomal RNA (468 nucleotides) under uncultured bacterium. Its description in RNAcentral is "partial 16S ribosomal RNA". It matches the Rfam family "Bacterial small subunit ribosomal RNA", at positions 28 to 507 of the family's 1533-position model. The record is from RNAcentral.